This 303-nucleotide ribosomal RNA is filed under the name uncultured bacterium. RNAcentral's name for it is "partial 16S ribosomal RNA". It matches the Rfam family "Bacterial small subunit ribosomal RNA", at positions 507 to 809 of the family's 1533-position model. The record is from RNAcentral.
AGCAGUCGCCGCGGGAAUACAGAGGGUGCGAGCGUUAAUCGGAUUUACUGGGCGUAAAGCGUGCGUAGGCGGCUUCUUAAGUCGGAUGUGAAAUCCCUGAGCUUAACUUAGGAAUUGCAUUCGAUACUGGGAAGCUAGAGUAUGGGAGAGGAUGGUAGAAUUCCAGGUGUAGCGGUGAAAUGCGUAGAGAUCUGGAGGAAUACCGAUGGCGAAGGCAGCCAUCUGGCCUAAUACUGACGCUGAGGUACGAAAGCAUGGGGAGCAAACAGGAUUAGAUACCCGAGUAGUCCCUGUCUCUUAUAA